Molecule: microRNA precursor, 102 nt
Filed under: Marmota monax (woodchuck)
Lineage: Eukaryota; Metazoa; Chordata; Mammalia; Rodentia; Sciuridae
Source: RNAcentral
AGUACAAUUGCUGGGUUAUGUAGCAGUGGUAUGUUUAAUUUUAAAGGUAAUUUCCAAACUGUUUUCCAGAAUAAUCUCUACCUACUUAUUACCAAAAUCUAU